This 112-nucleotide ribosomal RNA is filed under the name Caerostris darwini. Lineage: Eukaryota; Metazoa; Arthropoda; Arachnida; Araneae; Araneidae. The record is from RNAcentral.
AGCGGCUAUACCAUGCUGAAUAUACCGGUUCUCGUUAGAUCACCGAAGUUAAGCAUCAUUGGGCGCGGUCAGUACUUGGGUGGGUGACCACCUGGGAACACCGCGUGCCGUU